CUUUCCCAACUCAUUUCCCCUUUCCUUUACGUGUUGUUUUCAUUCUUCUCCUCUUCGCCUAAUCGAUCUUGUUUACAGGUUUCAGCCGAUGACAUCGUCAUCAGUCAGUCAUCUUCAAUUUCCACCCAAACCCUUUUAACCUUCCCUUUUCAAGUGUCUUAAAUUUAAACUUUUCCCAAAUCACCUAUUCGAGUCGUCGAUCGCUACCGCCGCUCUAAUCCCUCUCCAGACCCAAGUAAUUUGACAAUUUCAUAGAUGCACCCAUGAUUAGUACUCCACGUUUACCUCCAACGUAUGGAAGGUUUCUACAUUUAAUGAUCCAAUGAAGGCUUUUGGUUUGUUGAAUUGCUAUUCCUUUUUAUUUCAUACGAACCAAUCACAUCUAAAGCCUACAAUUUUGCUGCCAAAGGUCGAGAGACUUCACAUUGGAUGGUAAGAACAAAUAAUAGUAAUUCUUCAUAUCCUGUCAUUUUAAUGUGCACAAGUUCUUGCAUCCUCUUGUAUAUGGUGAAUAUCUAAAAACGAUGCAGAAUAUUGUUCCGAAAAAGGCAACCAGAGGUUAAGACGGUAAAUGAUCCUUUGAUUUCGUGUGCAUAAAUCAGUACUCCAGUUAUAAUAUGGAACCACAUCGAGAUAAGACAAAGCCCCUUGGCUACCAGUAGGAUUGGGAAGUUGGAUUUCCUUGUAAGAUACUCUCGUGCUUUUGUUUUUGACAUUGGAAUAAAUAUUUACAUAUACUGUAUAAUAUUAGCUUGUCCGUUGCCUCUCCAGAUGCUCGUCAUGUAGUGCCCGCAGUCAUUUCGAGGGUAACUUAGCUCAAACUAUAUAUUCUACAAAACUGAGUCAAACUUUUAUUAAGUACAUUUUGUUGAUAAAAAUGUCACUAUGAAUUAGUUAUAAUUAGGUAGUGUAUGAUUUGACCUAUAUUGUACCGUGGAGUCUGGACAUAGCUAUUAACUAUGUUAAAGAGGGCUUUCGAAGUCCUACCAUGAUUUUUGCUGAGAAUGGUGCAUUUUGUAUUAGAUAUUUAUUCGAGUUAUGUGUUAAGGUGAAAAUUUAUAAAAAAUACUAAAUCACGUUCAUAUGACUAUCAGGAAUGGAUGAUCCAGGGAAUUUAACUCUUAAGGCUUUGAUACCACAAAAAUCAACUACUACAAGAGCUAUUUAGCAGAAUUGAUGAAAACAAUCAUUGAGGAAGCCAACGUGAUCAGGUACUUCCGAUGGACAUUGCUCGAUAAUUUCGAAUGGAGACUCUUUUGCUCUUUUUUUUUUUUUCCUUUUUUUUUGUAUAGAAAAAUACUAUGCUUUUUAUUGAUUGGGUGAUACAAA
RNAcentral lists this long non-coding RNA (1329 nucleotides) under Olea europaea subsp. europaea. Lineage: Eukaryota; Viridiplantae; Streptophyta; Magnoliopsida; Lamiales; Oleaceae. The record is from RNAcentral.